Non-coding RNA from Acanthosepion pharaonis, 95 nucleotides. The record is from the annotation of a GenBank genome assembly. NCBI's taxonomy places the organism in Eukaryota, Metazoa, Mollusca, Cephalopoda, Sepiida, Sepiidae.
CGUCGAAACAUUGGUUCUCGUAAGAUCACCUAAAUUAAGAAACGUCGAGCCAGGUCACUACUUAGAUGGGUGACCGCUUGGGAAUACCUAGUGUU